GAGAGUUAUGUAGAAAAUGUAUGUCUGUUUUCUUACCCCAGUGUCCCUUGAAGAUGCCAGUCACAUCACAAAGCAGCAGAUGGAACUUAAUCACUUUCUGCUCCAGUAAUUCUGACUACUGGGAGGUGAGAUCGAUUUUCCUCACUUUGGCUUCUGAAGAUCCAGGAGCCUGCUGUGAGACAAUAUGAAGUGGCACCAACCACAGAGGUAUCUGAACUACCCUAGCAGCUGCUCUAAGCAGGAGAGCUGGCAGCAUCAGAAGCAAUGGCAUGAAUUCAUUGUUCAGAUGAAAAAAUCAUAACAGAAAUGAAACAACCAAACUGCAAUCAAAUGUUUACGAGAACAAACUUCCUGUGAUUGGAGUAAACAACACUUGACUUAAUCAUGAAAUUGAUGAAGAUUAAAUUUCCAGGAUCUAAAACUGUCUGGCUGCAUCUGUAAUCAGAGUUAUUAGUUCCUGUUGUUGACAUAUGACUCCAGACCUUGCUGCUCACCACCUCUGGAAGUCAUUCUGGGAAGUUCUGCCCAUGAAGGCUCACCUCAUUUCCCAAAAGUUGUCUACUCCGGGAUCCCUGGACCCACAAACUCAGUGCCUGCGGGAACCCCUCGCCUAAACCAGUUCUUCCUCUUGUCUGCCAAUCUGACCCUUUUUCUCCUCAUGCACAACUGGUUCCCGCUCCUGUGUCCCCCCAACAAAUAGCACUGCUUCAGGAAGGACUAUCCCAUGCUCUCGGACUCUCUUGCAACCUGACAUUAUUUGUAGCCAGUCUUUGAUACUCUAGCCUCUGAAAUGUUUUAUAUACAUAGAAAUCUGUGUAAGUGCUUUAUAUUCAAAUAAUCUAUAGUUUCAGACAAACAUGAGAAUUGUUUCUAAAGGUUGAGAUGAGUGAUAAUGCAUGGCAUGUUCAUUUUACUGUUAUGACAUCCUCUUCCUCUUCUACUACAGAUGCUAGCACAAUGGGGCCCUGGUCCUUGUUUGGAGGGAAGGAUCUGGGCUGCUGUUGUUGUUUACAAUAGCACAAGAUUUUAAAGUAGUGAUUUUGUAUGUCCCAGUUAUUGGGUGCCCAACUAACAACAAUUGAAAGGGGCCUGAUUUUCAAUGCCUUUUAAAAUUGCCUCAAUUUGGGCACCCAGCUGAAGCAGCAAAAUCACUACUUAUGGUACUUCUGAAAGUCUUGUCUGCCAAGUCUACCAUUUCAAGUUCUAUCAAACCAAUGGUGAAAAGGAAUAUUGAGCUAUCUCAGAAAUAGGAGUUAAAAAUAAUACCUGUUACACUGUUACUAUAACUCAGUAAAAGCAGAAAAUGUGAGUACCAGAUUAGGAGGCUUCCAUGGAAAAGAACAUUGCUGGAUUAUUAUUAACAAAUUCACAUCUAUGUAAUCAAAGAUACAUUUCUAUAACCCUUAAAAAAAUCAAUAGAAAAUCCUCUGAAUAAUAAACUGAUAUUUAAUCAAUGUGUUGCUCUUCUUGCAAUGAUAAUAGCAGAAAACCAAGUAUCAUACAAAUACUUUAGAUGACAUGGAACAAGCAUGGCAGAGCAUGGGAUUUUCAUACUGAAAAAAACAACCUAGAAAAGGCCUCUUCAUGUGCUUAAUUUAGACCUGCUUAGUAGUGACCUCAUUGUUUAUCAGGGGAUGAUUUCAGUAAAGCAGCAGGCUAAAGCUUCUGGUAAUCCAAGCCUAAAUCUUCCAAUUAAAAUACUUGGCAUUUGGAAUAUAAACAGAGACAGUGGGAUGCCAUCACUGUUUUGAUCUAUGCUAUUCCCUUUUUUACCAGUAUAAUUUUAUGCUCAUGUCAUAAAUAUAAAGGGAAGGCUAAACACCUUUAAAAUCCCUCCUGGCCAGAGGAAAAACCCUUUCACCUGUAAAGGGUUAAGAAGCUAGGAUAACCUCGCUGGCACCUGACCAAAAUGACCAAUGAGGAGACAAGAUACUUUAAAAGCUGGAGCGGGGGGAGAAACAAGGUUUUCUCUGUCUGUGUGAGGCUUUUGCUGGGAACAGAAAAGGAAUAGAGUCUUAGAAUUUAGUAAGUAAUCUAGCUAGAUAUGCGUUAGAUUCUGUUUUGUUUAAAUGGCUGAUAAAAUAAACUGUGCUGAAUGGAAUGUA
This is a non-coding RNA of Caretta caretta (loggerhead turtle), 2105 nucleotides long. NCBI's taxonomy places the organism in Eukaryota, Metazoa, Chordata, Testudines, Cheloniidae. The record is from RefSeq and is a predicted model, not a curated record.